UAUUGCACUCUCCAGGACCUUCAAAAAGACAAACCUGAAUCCUAAUUUAAGACGAGAAAGAGGAGGAGGAGGAAGAAGAAGAAGAAAAAGAUUCCAAUAAUUGAAGAUAAUCCGUAUAGUAAGAGCAGGAAGAAAAAUUAUAAACAAAAUAACCCUUCCUCAAUAAGAAUAACUUGAAGAUCUUUGAUUAAAAUGUUAUUAAAACCCAAAGUUCUAUAAAGACAAAUUGCUAGAAACAUAAAAAACAAUCCUCAGCUUAAUGUGGGGAUUGGCCAAAAUGACAAAGCCGUUGAUCACUGUUGUGGCUUCAGAAGAACUUUCCAGAACAGACUGUUUUUUGUUCCUCCUUCCUCAGAAAACAUGAUGUCCCUCAAAAAUGUUCCUCAGUGAGUCAGAAAUGUGGACCGCAGAGCUGGCUUCCUUUCAGGGUUCUCCAGUGGCAGCCCAGCUGGGACACACAGAAGUGAGACUCUGCUCGCCCCAGGGCAGCUUUUCUGGGCCACAGGAAACCAUUUUACAGUAUUUCCUAUGCUUUCGUCUGCAGCUGCCUAUGGUGUGAGCAGUGAAUCUGUUUCUUCUAACUUGCCACGUUGAUGUGUUCUCUCACCAGACUAAGGUCAUUGAUAAAAGCACAGCCAAGGGUGCGGUACUCAGAGGGUUUCUGAGCGCUGUUUGAAGGGGUUACGUAGCUAUGAUCUUGGUUAUCCCUAGCCAGUGGGAGCCCCGCUUUGGAUUAGUUAUUAGUGACUCUGCUUCAUAAAAGUGGUACAAAGAACAGGAUGUAAUCUGACAGUACCCUGGUACCUGUGUGAAGCAGGAAGGCGGGAUUAUCGCAGGGUGGAGACAUCAGGGACAGGAGUCCUGGAGAUAUUUGAUGGGGAAGAAAGAGUGGUCUGUGUGUCUGUAUCCCAGUGGGGUCAGAAAUCGUUCUCUCCUUCUGCUAUGUUGAUUCGGGGUCGCAGUCUCUGAUACUCUUGACCUUGGGGAGCAGCGUCUGAAAACAGGCGAGGAACGCCUCCUUCAGGAGUGUGAAGGCAGUAAGACUGUCCUGAUGCUGUCAGGCCCGGCGUUGAAUGAUGCUCUCCUAAUGGAAACCACACUGGGGAUAGUUUUAUAAGGCCAUAAAGAAGGCAAGUUAGCUCGUUUCCUCCCCUGACUCCCGAACACAGAGCAUCCCGAGGGGCUCCACUGGAGAAGAGAAGGAUGGUGUAGUUUUUAGCUGAGCUUAAUUUCGUUUUCAUUCAGCUACAAUAAAUAACAUAGCACAUAAAACUCUGUGUCUUUGGGAGCGUAUUUGUCUGAAAAAACAACAACAAAUAAU
Long non-coding RNA from Mus musculus (house mouse), 1321 nucleotides. RefSeq annotates it as predicted gene, 53632. The record is from RefSeq and is a predicted model, not a curated record. NCBI's taxonomy places the organism in Eukaryota, Metazoa, Chordata, Mammalia, Rodentia, Muridae. The transcript is spliced from 3 exons.